ACAGGAUCUUUGAUCUAUUUGCCUUCAAAAUCAUACUAUUAAACUAAAGAGCCAAAGCAGCGCCAAUACCCUCUUUAUAACACCCAAGGGUAAUAUAAGCGCAUUUUUCACAUCAAUUAGUAGACAGUGUUUGCUGAAAAAUGUUCAAAUUUCUACUUAUUUUUUUAUCAGUAAUAACUUUGUGCUUAACAAGUAUUCUCAAUUUUAAAGAGCGAACUUCAGCUAAAUUUGGUUUGGGCUGGGGAAAAAAUCAAGAUUAUGAAGCUGCGAACCAAGAAUUACUUCUCAAUUCUUUUAACAAAAUUCAAUACAAUGCUUUGAAUUCACCCGAUGACUCGCAGCGAAACUUGCCGAAGUUCUACAGAGGGGCGACUGGAGGUUUCAGUGUGGACAAGAACUGGUUUUUGUUUCUUCUGGGUCAACACCUGAGCUCGCCUAUUUCAAAAAAAUCAGAUGAUUCUUCAAAAAUUCAUUCCAGAUCAUACACAAACGAACAGAAAUGGAUCGGUUAGCAGCAGCUGUAAUCCCCAGUUCUUGUUGUGCCUCGGUCUCCACUUCAACAUCACAGAUCUUCAUCCAUUAACCACAAGUUUCAACAUAUCCGAUGGCCUCUAAAAUGACUGGACUAUCGUUUGUUUGACUAUAGAAGAAUGUACGUUGAGAAAAUUUGGCAAUUAACUGA
Molecule: long non-coding RNA, 682 nt
Organism: Symsagittifera roscoffensis
Lineage: Eukaryota; Metazoa; Xenacoelomorpha; Acoela; Convolutidae
Exons: 2
Source: RefSeq, a predicted model, not a curated record